RNAcentral lists this ribosomal RNA (457 nucleotides) under Clypastraea fasciata. RNAcentral describes it as "partial 16S ribosomal RNA". The record is from RNAcentral. Lineage: Eukaryota; Metazoa; Arthropoda; Insecta; Coleoptera; Corylophidae.
GUCUUUUUGAUUUUAUAAAAAGUCUGGCCUGCUCAAUGAAUAUUAAAUAGCUGCGGUAUUUUGACCGUACAAAGGUAGCAUAAUCAAUAGUUUUUUAAUUGAAAACUGGAAUGAAAGGUUUGAUAAAAAAAUGACUGUCUCAUUUAGAUUUUUUUUUAAAUUUUAUUUUUAAGUUCAAAAGCUUAAAUUUUUUUGAAAGACGAGAAGACCCUAUAGAGUUUAAUUGUUAAAAGUAUAUAUUUUUUUAGUAUUAAAAAUAUGUAAAUUUAAAACAAUUUAAUUGGGGUGAUUAAAAAAUUAAAUAAACUUUUUUUUAUUUUUUCAAUUUUUAUUGUUUAAUUGAUCCAUAAAAAUGAUUAUAAGAUUAAAUUACCUUAGGGAUAACAGCGUAAUUUUUUUUGAGAGCUCUAAUCGAAAAAAGAGAUUGCGACCUCGAUGUUGGAUUAAAAUUUAUAUU